GACGAACGCUGGCGGCGUGCUUAACACAUGCAAGUCGAACGGAAAGGCCCUGCUUUUGUGGGGUGCUCGAGUGGCGAACGGGUGAGUAACACGUGAGUAACCUGCCCUUGACUUUGGGAUAACUUCAGGAAACUGGGGCUAAUACCGGAUAGGAGCUCCUGCCGCAUGGUGGGGGUUGGAAAGUUUCGGCGGUUGGGGAUGGACUCGCGGCUUAUCAGCUUGUUGGUGGGGUAGUGGCUUACCAAGGCUUUGACGGGUAGCCGGCCUGAGAGGGUGACCGGCCACAUUGGGACUGGGAUACGGCCCAGACUCCUACGGGAGGCAGCAGUGGGGAAUAUUGCACAAUGGGCGGAAGCCUGAUGCAGCAACGCCGCGUGCGGGAUGACGGCCUUCGGGUUGUAAUCCGCUUUCGCCUGUGACGAGGCGUGAGUGACGGUAAUGGGUAAAGAAGCACCGGCUAACUACGUG
RNAcentral lists this ribosomal RNA (468 nucleotides) under uncultured bacterium. RNAcentral's name for it is "partial 16S ribosomal RNA". It matches the Rfam family "Bacterial small subunit ribosomal RNA", at positions 28 to 507 of the family's 1533-position model. The record is from RNAcentral.